Molecule: long non-coding RNA, 1848 nt
Organism: Magnolia sinica
Lineage: Eukaryota; Viridiplantae; Streptophyta; Magnoliopsida; Magnoliales; Magnoliaceae
Exons: 9
Source: RefSeq, a predicted model, not a curated record
GGCUUCUUUACCAGAGGGUAUGCAACACCUCGUGUCACUUCAACAACUUCGAAUGUGCGACUGUGAUAAGUUGACAUCUUUGCCGGAAGGGCUAAGACACGCCACAACAUGCAAGAGCUACAAAUCCGCAAUUGGCCAAGUCUAACGGCUCUGCCAGAGUGGAUAGGAAACCUGCCCUUGCUUCAACGUUUGGAGAUUAGCUAUUGUCAUAAAUUGGCAUGUUUGCCAUCCAGAUUGCAACUUCUAACGAAUCUCGAACAUCUAGAAAUCCAAGGUUGUCCCCAUUUAGAGAAGUGAUGCAAGAAGGAGAAAUGCGGCGAUUCGCACAAGAUAGCACACAUCCCACAUACCGAGAUUGGAUGGCCAUUCCUGAGAGGAGGUGAAGGGCGUGGACGUCUCUUGGAGUUGAAGACAAGAUGCAUCAAUACUCUCCUUCCUACCUCUUCCUCCCAUUAACAUUCAAAUGCUAUCAUUUCAUCCAUGAAUGGCAGUGGUACUUGUGCAAAUGAGAUGGAGAAGGGCCUAGCAGCACACAUGCCAACAUGCUACACUUGUGGAGACUGAGCAAGGUGGCUGAUCGUUGAACCAAAAAUCAGGCUGGUCUGCUUAUCAGGCCGUUGAGGGUUAGAGUCAUGCUUAAGGAUGGAUGAGACAAUGUGAAAUUUACCUUUUUAGGCUGGUGGGGAAUGGAUCCUCAAACAGAAUGGAGUUGUUGGCUAUUGAAAGCAGUGUGGAGAUUUUGUGAAUUGGUAGCGGCACGGAGACUCUAUAAUGCUAUCACUUGUACCUUUAGGAAGUACAAUCCCACUUUGGAGCCAAGAUCUAUUCUGAAUGAAAUGAGGUUUGUCUUCUUUCAGUGAUUUGAGUAGUCCUUGAAAGAUAUUCAGGGAUAAGUCCCUGAGAAUGAAGAAAAAAGGAAUGACAGAAUUCUGCAAGAUCAAGAUCGUGCUUUGUUAACUCAAUUUCUCCAGAAAUCAUUCAGAAGGCAGGAUAACAGGAUUGAUGUAAAUUUCAUUUUAUUUUUUCCGAUGAAAGGUACACUUACAUUCAAUCACUAACCUAAGAGGCAUGCAUCUGCAGAUACCUAAUACAUUAUACAUCAGUCUCAUGAAUAGUUUGAACAUGCUGGUGAUCCAAUCACACUGACCUCCAGAUGAAUGUGUCUUCAGCUAGGAUCAGGUCUGUCACUUCAUCAGGAGUCUAGGACACUUUCACCAAAGGGUAGACCUGAUGAAUGGAAAGGGUCUCAUACACAAAUGCCACACCAACACAUGUGAGGGCCCUUCUAUUUCUCCUCUGCAAAAGUACAUCUAUAAGAAGCACUUCUUAACCCCUUCAAAUUUAACUCCUUGGCCAGUCAUUAUUUACAAAAUAUCAAAAGUUGAUGGUACGAGGAAUUCUAAGUGGACUUGCUCAUAUGUGGUAGUUGUAGGUUGUUUGUAGCACACAUGCCAAUUUAGGAUGUGUUAUAGACAUGGGCAUUCAUCUGGGGUUUCUAUAUCAAUCUGGGCUAGCCUUACAUCGGAGAGCGAGAGGGGAAACAUUCGUGGACCUCAGCAGAGAACAUUUUCCUGUAAACCGAAAAAUAGCAAGAAGUUUAUCACUCCUUUGUUAUAUUUAUGCCAGGAAAAAAAAGGACAAGGUUCCCCUAUUUUCAGUGGAAGAAGCGCACUAGUUCCCCUGGUACUGUUGUGGUUCUCAUCGUCUUUUCUACAAUGUGUUUCAACAUUAAAUUUUAAUCCUACGUUUUUUCUUUCAUUAAUCUUUUCUUAAUUCACAUCUAAGACAUCUAUGACAAAAACUGGCAUUUCUUUUCUUGUAUUUUUGUUCUUUAUGAGGAUACUUAGU